GGAAUAUUGGACAAUGGGUGCAAGCCUGAUCCAGCCAUGCCGCGUGCAGGAAGAAGGCCUUCUGGGUUGUAAACUGCUUUUUUCAGGGGAUAAAAUACUCGUGCGCGAGGAAUUGAAAGUACCUGGAGAAUAAGCCACGGCUAACUACGUGCCAGCAGCCGCGGUAAUACGUAGGUGGCGAGCGUUGUCCGGAUUUAUUGGGUUUAAAGGGUGCGUAGGCGGCUACUUAAGUCAGUGGUGAAAUACGGCAGCUUAACUGUCGAGGUGCCAUUGAUACUGGGUAGCUUGAGUACUGAUGAGGUAGGCGGAAUGGACGGUGUAGCGGUGAAAUGCUUAGAGAUCGUCCAGAACACCGAUAGCGAAGGCAGCUUACUAAGGAGUAACUGACGCUGAGGCACGAAAGUGUGGGGAUCAAACAGGAUUAGAUACCCUGGUAGUCCACACUGUAAACGAUGAUCACUCGAUGUUGGCGAUACACGGCCAGCGUCUUAGCAAAAGCGAUAAGUGAUCCACCUGGGGAGUACGCCGGCAACGGUGAAACUCAAAGGAAUUGACGG
RNAcentral lists this ribosomal RNA (557 nucleotides) under uncultured bacterium. RNAcentral's name for it is "bacterial SSU rRNA". It matches the Rfam family "Bacterial small subunit ribosomal RNA", at positions 358 to 916 of the family's 1533-position model. The record is from RNAcentral.